AGGAGGAACAAACCCAGUGGCUGCGGCAGCUCUGGAAACCUGGAUUCAGCUCCCACAGUAACUACAGAGCUCUCAGCCUACAGGGCCUGAAUGCUCUGUGGCAGG
Molecule: microRNA precursor, 105 nt
Filed under: Canis lupus familiaris (dog)
Lineage: Eukaryota; Metazoa; Chordata; Mammalia; Carnivora; Canidae
Also listed under: 1 other name
Description: mir-8834 microRNA precursor family
Rfam family: mir-8834 microRNA precursor family
Source: Rfam by way of RNAcentral